Molecule: long non-coding RNA, 1217 nt
Organism: Amphibalanus amphitrite
Lineage: Eukaryota; Metazoa; Arthropoda; Thecostraca; Balanomorpha; Balanidae
Exons: 2
Source: RefSeq, a predicted model, not a curated record
AGAGUGAUGCGCAAUCUGGCCGGUGAAAUGCAAUGAUAAAGGGAUGUUGUUGAGUUCUGAUUCAUGCCCUGUAAGCCAUCAAAGAUAGUCACUUGAUAGCGCGACACAUCUCUGCACUCUGGAGUGGCAUCAGGUGACUGGUCGCCGGUGACCCGGCCUGACCGAUCCCCGGCACUCCGGCCGGCCUCAACGUAAAAACGUCGUCAAUAUGGAAGGAAGCGGGAGCGGAAAAGCAGAAAAGGAGGACAUGAAAAAGAACAAUGAAGAGCUGACAAAACUCCGAGAACUAUUUCAGAAGCAUAAAGGAUACGUGGAAUGCAGCAUCUGCUUUAGCAUCUUCGUUGAGCCAGUAACCCUAGAGUGUGCCCACACAUUCUGUAAGAACUGCAUAGAAAAGACUCCGAGACCUGUCGCAGGAAUAUUCGAUUACCCGCACCCUCCAAAUCAAAAUCAAUGUCGCCAGUGUCCGCUCUGUCGCCAAGUGUCAAACAUACAGGUUCCCAAUCUGGCUCUGAAGAACAUAUCCGGCACCUUCUCUGGCGAUCAGCAGCGAGAAGUCGCCAGGGGGACCAGCGGUGCCGGUGGGACCAGCGGUGCCGUUGGGACCAGUGGUACCGGUGGGACCAGUGGUGCCGUUGGGACCAGUGGUACCGGUGGGACCAGUGGUGCCGGUGGGACCAAAGGUGCCGGUGGGACCAAAGGUGCCGGUGGGACCAAAGGUGCCGGUGGGACCGGCGGUGCCAGUGGGUCCAGCGGUCCAGCGGUGCAGGCACCGCUGGCCUCCUUCGGUGCAGUACCGCGGGCCGCAGUCGGUUCGCAAGUGGCCUACAACAGCAAGACAAUUAGUCCAGAACUUGAAAGGAUGUUACAAGACAUGGGGUUUCCGAUUCUCCCACAUAUUUUCCGGGAUUGAUAGGAUAGAUGCCGCUACGGCGCUAGUUGGGAGACGUAAACCAUGGGGACUGAUGGGUAGACAUAAGGAUUGAAUAUCUGUCACUGGGUGAUUUCAUGCUUAUUGUUCAUAUGUGUAUGUAUGUAUGUAUGUAUGUAUGUAUUCACUUAAGCAGACCAAUCCACACGACAGGGCUAUUCUGAGGUCAUUGUCAUACAAUCAGCUAAUAAUAAAGAACACAGUAAAAAUACAUCAUCAUACUGUAUCUAAUUAAAAGUAUACACUAAAAACGCGUAUAUACCUAUAAAAUGUACACACAUGAUAA